Mirounga angustirostris (Northern elephant seal) is the source of this 3864-nucleotide long non-coding RNA. RefSeq lists it as uncharacterized. The transcript has 3 exons. The record is from RefSeq and is a predicted model, not a curated record. NCBI's taxonomy places the organism in Eukaryota, Metazoa, Chordata, Mammalia, Carnivora, Phocidae.
GGGCCAAAUUCGGCUGUUUGAAAGAAACUGACGGCGGACUUCCCGCCCCAGGGGAAGCGAGGGAGUCGGGCAUCCUGCUAUAUCCCUGGAAAAUGUCCGAGGGCAAACUACCCUAGCGCAAGGGCGGCAUCCUGAGCGCCAACCUUGGAUCGGUCGGAGAAGACCCGGGAAGGCCGGGGUCCCGGAGGGGUUCCAGCUGGACAUGACAUCACCACACAGGAUGUUUCCUUCCCAAGCAUUUAUGAUGUCUGCUACCUGCCAAACCCCAUUCCAGGUCCGCGUGCUCCAUCAGGCUCCUGGGGUCAGGAAGAUGUGGAUCAGGGCAUCCGGAGCCCUGGGCUGGCACUGGUGGGACUUUGAGAAAGGCACCUAGAUUCUAGGCUUCCUCAUCUACAGGGUAACCAUGAUAAUGAGGAUCUUAACUGCAUUGUUAUGAAAAUCAAAUACAAUUAUCUUCAAACUAUGGAACUAUCUCAUAAUCAUAAAAACAUUAAAAAAUUUAAAGAAGUUAUUUGGAACAUGACUGACCCAACAGGAGUCAGAAUUUUUCUGUGGGCCCCUAAAACUGCCCUCCUUCUAGAAGGAGAGGUUGGACAAUUAAACUGAAUUUCUGCCCUCCCUGCGGCAAGGACUCUGGUUGCAAAUGGCCGAUGGCCAGUGAGGGGCUGGGGCAAGGGCACAAAGCAGAACUCUCCCUCUUGCUCUUCCUGCCUCCUCGCAGGACCCCAGCACACCCACUCGGGCUCCGGGGGCAUGCCAAGGAGCAACGACACAAGAGCUUCAGGCAGCCCUGACUCCAGCCUCCCAAGGACGUGAGCACCUAAUUCCCUGUGCCGGACCCUUCCCUGCUGGAGCUGUCCGCAGUGGCUGUUCCCCUGCUUUGAACCCUGCCUGCAAUGGCAACUCAGAGAAUGAACUAGGGGACACAGUCAUGGGCGGCCAUGGGAGCAGAGACGGCCCUGAUCCCGCUGCCCCUGUGCUCUCCCUCUCGUUUCUAUGAGGUUUGGUCUCUGUGUUGGUCUCUUGGGCUUUUUAGGUGGCAGGGACCAUGGAUGCCUCUUGGACCACAUGCGUGGCUUUGUGUUUGGCAGCUCCAACCACACAUUGGAGAGUCGAAUACCAGCUGUUCCUCAAAGAAGGGUCUGUUUGUCUCACCUGAAGAGCAGGAAGGGAUGCAGUGCCGAGAGAAGGGACCCCCGCCACAGAAACGCGUAGUCAAGACAACCGAGCCGAGCACCGGACUCCGGCAUCUGGGGGUUGCCUUUGCUGUUGCUGAAAGAUCCUGCGCAACCAACCACCCCAAAAUACAGCGGCUUGAACAAUGGGCAUGUCUUUUCUUUUCUUGCCCCCCCACCCCCCACCCCCUGCCACUUGGCUGGCAGCUCUGCUUGGGGCUGCAGGUCAUCCGCGUGUAGCUGCAGGCUGUGGGGCAGGGUCAGUACCUGGGGCCCUGCCGAAGGGGCAGGGGCUACCCGGCCGUGUUCUCAUCUUGACCACCCUGCGAGUGCCCAGGGCAGGCCAGGCGUACACACUGCAGGCUUGGUGUGAAUAUACCAAACCCGCCAUCAUGGGGCUCCAGCACCCAGCAACACUCUAUGUACCAGCAGGGAGGAAAAUAACUCGUCUCCCCAGGAGCUUAAGAGACAAGUCUGCUUUGAGAGGAUCAGCGAGGAAAUUGUUGCUCAUGUCUGAUAAAUUGAGUUCAUCUGAGUGUCUGUUUUUAUGAACUAUUUUUCCCAUUUGUGACCUGCCUUAGAAAUUUUUGUUAUAAUUUUUAUUUUUUUCCAGCUCUCAGGAACUAUGUGUAUGCCUGCCAUUAUUUAAUAGAACCUUACUGUUUGUGUUUAUAUUAAUAUUUUCGGCCUGUUUCAGCAGCGAUUAUCUUAUUCAACUCUUAUAACAUUGCUCUUGGGAAGGAAAAAUAACAUUAUACCCAUUUUACAGAUGAAGAAAUUAAAUCUUAGCAAUAUCAGUUAACUCCCCCAAGGCCACCACAGCUCGCAAAAUAGCAGAACUUGGAACUAGCACCUAAAUAUUGUAGGAGUCUUCAAGAAAACAUCUGUGUCUGGCAAACAUAGGGUGAUAUUAAAAAAUGUCAAGAACUAGUACCAUAAAACUUGAAUCAAUCAAUCAAAAUACAAAAUGAGGGGCACCUCGGGGGCUCAGUAGGUUAAGCGUCCGACUCUUGAUUUCGGCUCAGGUCAUGAUCUCAGGGUCAUGAGAUUGAGCCCCAAGUCUGGCUCCAAGCUUAGCACAGAGUCUGCUUGAAAUCUUCUCCCUCUGCCCCUCCCUCCCUCAUGAGCAUGCACACACUCUCUCUCAAAAAUAAAAUAAAAUAAAAUAAAAUAAAAUAAAAUAAAAUAAAAUAAAAUAAAAAAUAAAAAAUGCUUUCUUUUUAUUCUUAGUUAAACAAAACUAUAUAUUAUAGGGGCGCCUGGGUGGCUCAGUCGUUAGGCGUCUGCCUUCGGCUCAGGUCAUGAUCCCAGGGUCCUGGGAUCGAGCCCCACAUCGGUCUCCCUGCUCCGUGGGAAGCCUGCUUCUCCCUCUCCCUCUCCCCCUACUUGUGUUCCCUCUCUCGCUGUCUCUCUCUCUCUGUCAAAUAAAUAAAUAAAAUCUUUAAAAAAAACCCCAAAAAACCCUAUAUAUUAUAAAACUCCCAAUCAUGUGAUAUAAUUUGUAGCAUAAUUUGUUAAGUCAUUUUAGUAAUUUUCAAUCACUUUUUGAUUUUUAGGAAAUGUUCAUGUGAUCUCCCUGUAUAACUUGGUGGCUGCUAGCUAAAAGAUGCCAUUGUCUGAGCCAUGGUCUGACACAGGGAGUGACAUCGAUAGACAUUGGGUGACUUGUAUGGAGACUCCUCUUCACGUCAAUGGUAUUGCUCUUGGUAUUCACGAGUUCUACAAAACCAACAGUAAUUCCAUUCAAAGGACUUCUAGACUUCUCUAACACUGCCUAAGAUUUUAUACAAUACCUCUGUCGUUAACCAAGCCGUGAAAACACAUUAUUAGAAUGCCAUUAUUUAUUAAAUGGCUUCAUCUUGUUGAUUUUUAUUCAUUUUCAAGCCAUGGAACAUAAUUCAAUAACCUGAAAUAGUGUAAAACAUUGUUCUGGGGCACCUGGGUGGCUCAGUUGUUGGGCAUCUGCCUUCAGCUCAGGUCAUGAUCCCAGGGUCCUGGAAUCUAGCCCCACAUCGGGCUCCCUGCUCUGCGGGGAGCCUGCUUCUCCCUCUCCCCCGCCCCCCCCACUUGUGUUCCCUCUCUCGCUGGUCUCUCUCUGUCAAAUAAAUAAAUAAAAUCUUAAAAAAAAAACCCAAAAACAUUGUUCUGUUUUUUCACUUUUGUCAUCAAACCACAAGUGCAUUAUAAUGUAAUUGAUCAGACAUAAUCAAUGGGAAAAAAUAGUUUUCUCCUGGAGUUGAUGUUCAUUGUGUAUAUCGACAAAUGGUGUUUCCUGUGCCUCCAUUUCAAGUGUGCCUUCUUCUUCAAGCUCAGUUUAUUUUAAAUAUUUGGUCACUUUUACAAUUUAUGGAAUUAAUCUGUCAUUUUUAAUAACUGAAAAUGUUCUUUCUGAUGCAAUCAAAAGAAGUAUUGGCACUUCUCCUAGACUAUAAUUUAUAAUUUCCAAAUCUCUCUUUUAGAUGUUUUUUAAUAGUUUUCGUUUCCAAAAUUUUAAAGGCUUCCAGUCCAGUUGUGCAUUACAGUGAAUAUACAAAGUGUGAUGCAGUUUUCACACUGCUUUUCUAGCUCAAGCCCUAGAGACUGCCCAUUAAGGCUUGACCAGUCUUCUCAUUUCAGUUCCCAGCUUGUCAGGUGCAUUAGACAUUUUAUUUUAUUUUAUUUUUAAAAGAUUUUAUUUAUUAUGAGAGAA